GAUGAACGCUAGCGAUAGGCUUAACACAUGCAAGUCGAGGGGCAGCACAAGGUAGCUUGCUAUCUGGGUGGCGACCGGCGCACGGGUGCGUAACGCGUAUGCAACUUGCCCUAUACAGGAGGAUAACCCGUCGAAAGACGGACUAAUACUGCGUAUGCUCACAACUUGGCAUCAAGUGGUGAGGAAAGAAAUUCGGUAUAGGAUAGGCAUGCGUCCCAUUAGCUUGUUGGUGAGGUAACGGCUCACCAAGGCAACGAUGGGUAGGGGAACUGAGAGGUUUAUCCCCCACACUGGUACUGAGACACGGACCAGACUCCUACGGGAGGCAGCAGUGAGGAAUAUUGGUCAAUGGGCGCGAGCCUGAACCAGCCAAGUCGCGUGAAGGAUGACUGUCUUAUGUAUUGUAAACUUCUUUUAUACGGGAAUAACAAGAGUCACGUGUGACUCCCUGCAUGUACCGUAUGAAUAAGCAUCGGCUAACUCCGUG
This 487-nucleotide ribosomal RNA is filed under the name uncultured bacterium. Its description in RNAcentral is "partial 16S ribosomal RNA". It matches the Rfam family "Bacterial small subunit ribosomal RNA", at positions 28 to 507 of the family's 1533-position model. The record is from RNAcentral.